Picea glauca (white spruce) is the source of this 121-nucleotide non-coding RNA. NCBI's taxonomy places the organism in Eukaryota, Viridiplantae, Streptophyta, Pinopsida, Pinales, Pinaceae. The record is from Rfam.
ACAUGCCUACAACAUAGCAUUAAUGCACCAUAUCCCAUUAGAACUCCACAGUUAAGCGUGCUCAAGCUAGAGUAGUAUUGGGAUGGGUGACCACCCGAGAAGUCCUAGUUUUUUACAUGCC